Long non-coding RNA from Anguilla rostrata (American eel), 878 nucleotides. RefSeq lists it as uncharacterized. The record is from RefSeq and is a predicted model, not a curated record. The transcript is spliced from 2 exons. NCBI's taxonomy places the organism in Eukaryota, Metazoa, Chordata, Actinopteri, Anguilliformes, Anguillidae.
AAGGCAAACUGCGAUCGCAGCAGAAUGUGUUCACCAAAGCCACAACCAAAAACGAUGCAGCAGUGAAAGCUAGCUUUAUGGUGGCUGAAGAAAUCGCCCGCGCUUCAGUCUUUUUCAGAGGGUGCGUUUUUGAAGCAGUGCAUGCUGAAGGUGUGUGAGCAGGUGUGCCCCGACCAGAUACAGACUUUUAAAAAUGUCAGUUUGUCAAGAAACACCAUCGCGGACCGAGUCAAGGAGCUAGCAGCAAACCUGUCAACACAGCUGGCCGAAGAGUCACGCAGUUACACAGCUUUUUCAUUAGCUGUUGAUGAACGCACAGACAACACGGAUACGGCACAGCUAAGCUAAUAGAACAUGAUCAAUGGAUGAGGAUGGUGGAGUGGAUCCACUUGGUGUGUUCAAGGACAGGCAGCAUAUCCUCAUCAUUUUCAACUCAUAGUUGUGAACUGAGACAACCCUAUUUUAUUAUUUUGAGUUUGUUACAUAUACUGCUUUUUGUGUAGUAAUGUAUUUGUUGUUUACAGGUUUAUGCACACAAAUGUUUACUCCUGCAAGGCUGUGUGCAGCCAUUUGAUUUUGUAAAAUGCUACAUCUGUCACACAUGUUCUUAGCAGCUCACUAUAGUUGGUUGUACGUUAUUCUGACCCUCUCGACUGUGACAAAAUUUUUUUGAAGGAAGUUAAUGUGUUUUAAUAUUUUUCUUUGAAUAGUUUGAUCAUUGAUAAAUAGAGUAAUGUGGGUUUCUUAACCUGACAAAUUAAAAGGAUUUAUGUUAUAGUAACAGAGCAACAAGCAACACUUUUUUUUUUUUACAUCUAUGCAAAUGCAUAUGUAAUAUUUGUAACUAAGUAAUAAAUACAGAAAGUUAUUUAACAAUA